RNAcentral lists this ribosomal RNA (1237 nucleotides) under metagenome. RNAcentral's name for it is "bacterial LSU rRNA". It matches the Rfam family "Bacterial large subunit ribosomal RNA", at positions 1564 to 2810 of the family's 2925-position model. The record is from RNAcentral.
UGAUGACGAGACGCUAAGGCGUUGAAGCAGUGUAUGUCAGACUUCCAAGAAAAGCUCGCAAUGUCAUGAAUAAAAAAUGCCUGUACCAUAACCGACACAGGUGGGUAGGUAGAGUAUACUAAGGGGCGCGAGAUAACUCUCUCUAAGGAACUCGGCAAAAUGACUCCGUAACUUCGGGAGAAGGAGUGCCUUAUUUAUAAGGUUGCAAUAACAAGAUCCAAGCAACUGUUUAUCAAAAACACAGGUCUCCGCUAAGUCGUAAGACGAUGUAUGGGGGCUGACGCCUGCCCAGUGCCAGAAGGUUAAAGAAGUUGGUUAGUGUAUGCGAAGCUGAUGACUGAAGCCCUGGUGAACGGCGGCCGUAACUAUAACGGUCCUAAGGUAGCGAAAUUCCUUGUCGGGUAAGUUCCGACCCGCACGAAAGGCGUAAUGAUUUGGAUACUGUCUCGGAGAGAGGCUCGGUGAAAUAGACUUGUCUGUGAAGAUGCGGACUACCUGCACCAGGACAGAAAGACCCUAUGAAGCUUUACUGUAACUUGAAAUUGGAAUUGGACUUUGCUUGCGCAGUAUAGGUGGGAAGCGUUGAAGAUAUUCUUGCGGGAGUAUUGGAGCUAUCAGUGAGAUACCACUCUUGUAAUGUUAGAUUUCUAACUUUGAACCAUAAUCUGGUCAAAGAACAGUUUCAGGUGGGCAGUUUGACUGGGGCGGUCGCCUCCCAAAUGGUAACGGAGGCGUACAAAGGUUUCCUCUGAACGGAUAGAAAUCGUAUCUAGAGUGUAAAGGCAUAAGGAAGCUUGACUGUGAGACCUACAAGUCGAGCAGGGACGAAAGUCGGUCUUAGUGAUCUGACGGUACUGAGUGGAAAGGCCGUCACUCAACGGAUAAAAGUUACUCUAAGGAUAACAGGCUGAUCUCCCCCAAGAGUUCACAUCGACGGGGAGGUUUGGCACCUCGAUGUCGGCUCAUCGCAUCCUGGGGCGGUAGUACGUCCCAAGGGUUGGGCUGUUCGCCCAUGAAAGCGGUACGCGAGCUGGGUUCAGAACGUCGUGAGACAGUUCGGUCCAUAUCCGGUGUAGGCGCUAGAAUAUUGAGAGGAGCCUUCUUUAGUACGAGAGGACCGAGAAGGACACACCGCUGGUGUACCAGUUAUCGUGCCAACGGUAAACGCUGGGUAGCUAUGUGUGGAGUGGAUAACCGCUGAAAGCAUCUAAGUGGGAAGCCCACCUCAAGAUGAGUA